UCGAGAAUCUUCCACAAUGGACGAAAGUCUGAUGGAGCGACGCCGCGUGAGUGAUGAAGGCCCUACGGGUUGUAAAACUCUGUCAGGAGAGAAGAAUCGCCGGGAUGCCAAUACCAUCCUGGUUUGACGUUAUCUCCAGAGGAAGCUCCGGCUAACUCCGUGCCAGCAGCCGCGGUAAGUACGGGGGGANCGAAGCGUUGUCCGGAAUUAGUUGGGCGUAAAGGGCGUGUAGGCGGCUUGGUCAGUCGAAUGUGAAAUCCCACGGCUCAACCGUGGAAUUGCGUUCGAUACUGCCUGGCUUGAGUAUGUGAGAGGUGUGCGGAAUUCCGUGGUGUAGCGGUGGAAUGCGUAGAUAUCAGGAAGAACACCGAUGGCGAAGGCAGCACACUGGCGCAAUACUGA
This 402-nucleotide ribosomal RNA is filed under the name uncultured bacterium. RNAcentral's name for it is "bacterial SSU rRNA". It matches the Rfam family "Bacterial small subunit ribosomal RNA", at positions 355 to 743 of the family's 1533-position model. The record is from RNAcentral.